GUCUGUGGCCAUACCACCCUGAAUGUGCCCGAUCUAGUCUAAUCUCAGAAGCUAAGGAGGGCUGGGCCUGGUUAGUAGUCAGAUGGGAAAAAUCCACCUGGGUCGCUUGCUUACAGCUCUUGGUGCCCUGCCU
This 133-nucleotide ribosomal RNA is filed under the name Castor canadensis (American beaver). Lineage: Eukaryota; Metazoa; Chordata; Mammalia; Rodentia; Castoridae. The record is from RNAcentral.